UUUAUUGAAUUAUGUACUGAUAUUUCUAUCAUCUUACUAGGUUUUGCAAAUUUGCUUUAAACAAUUGCUAUUGACUAUAAUAAAGAUGAAGUGAAUAAACUUAUAACUCAACCCCGCUUUCUUAUUGACAGUUUGAAGUGGUUGUAUGGUGUGAAAUGGCUAGGUUUUGAUAUUCCGUAUAUAAAUUUAUACUACAUUUUGAAACACUUCAUGAUGAAUGGAUAUGUGAAUCUUGAAACUUUUUACGUUUCAAUGAGGUUGGUGUGAUUAAAAGAGAAGACAAAGUUGUUUUAUAUUAUCUGUUAUUUAUUAACAAUCAAAAAGAAUAUAUGUUGGUUAUUCCAAAAAGGCUUAUAAUUGUCCUGAUUCAAUUACUGCUUUUUCUUCUUGGAAGGAUAAUGCAAAACAUUAUUUUUCCUUUAGAUGAGUUUUCACUUUUAAUAGCUUAUGUAUAUACCAAUGAGCCAUUUCAUAUGUGAUUUCUAUGGCAUUAAUUCGUAUAGUAGAUAUUGUCGACUAAAAGGUACAAAAGAAAAGAGGCAUAAGAAGAAUGAUUAACCCAAAAUAGAAUUAGACUGAUUCAAAAUUCUAUCAGCACUGUGAGAUGAGUGCUAUUGGAAGGAGUAGGUGGUUUUAGUGGUUUCAGGGAUAUUUGUGGCUAGCAUCCCCCAGUGAGUUAAGGCUUGAUUUUUCAAAACUGAGUAUUUCCAUGUUCAACUUAAAGUUUAUCUGGAAGAUAAGGUUGUGAUGCUCAUUAAUCUUUACUUCUACGCUUGAUUUUUCUUUUUCUCAUGCGAAAUAUAUUCUGUUGAGAAGAUAUGCAUAACUCUAAGUUUGACUUCUUUAUCAGCAUAUAGUAGAAACCUGAAGCUUUGGUGGAAUGGAGAAAUGCCCAACUUUGAUGGGAUGGAAAAGGAAUAAGCGGAGUGGAAUUUCUAGCUUUCUGGAAUGAGGCUUUGACUGCUCAGUUGUCAAUUAAAUUCCAUGUUCUUUGUUGGUAAAAUGGCAUAUACCAUUCAAGAUUAACUGUAUGCCAUGGGAGGGAAAUGAUGAUUGUCCUACUAUUACUGCUCUUGCUGCUUUUGGGCUAUAUUCCACACUGCCAAUAUGCUAAAAGCUCUAGAGCUUUGACCUACAGUCGAGGUGAAAGCAAAGCAGUUACAAAAACGAGAUACAGGGACCGAGUGGAAGAGUUAAAAUCUAUAGGCCUGUCCGACAACAUCUAUGUAGUUGAAGUGCAGUUGAAGUUUAUCGAUGGAAGUCGGAUGUGCCGGAGACAUUAGCAUGGAGGAUAGCGCAAUAUGCACUGGACAAUUCCAAGAGCACAGAGCAUUACACCCUUUCUAGAGUGUUCACACUUCACAAUGGUGGAAAGUAUGAUCAUAUUACUGUCAAUUGUAGCCAAUAUUUGGCAUUUAUAGUGCUGUGCUUUUUUAUGUCAGAUAACUUACUGCGAGAAAUUAGAAUUUAACAAUUCUUAGUAGUUGUAAACAAUGAUCUUCAUAGGUUAGAUAUUAGUUGAGAAACAAGCAAGAAAUAUGUAUGUAAUUUGAUUCUUUA
Long non-coding RNA from Lycium ferocissimum, 1560 nucleotides. RefSeq lists it as uncharacterized. Lineage: Eukaryota; Viridiplantae; Streptophyta; Magnoliopsida; Solanales; Solanaceae. The transcript has 2 exons. The record is from RefSeq and is a predicted model, not a curated record.